UGAGCAAUCUGCCCUUCUCUUUGGAAUAAGCGUUGGAAACGACGUCUAAUGCCGAAUACGACCUCCUUUCGCAUGAUCGGAGGUGGAAAGCUCCGGCGGAGAAGGAUGAGCUCGCGGCCUAUCAGCUAGUUGGUGUGGGUAAUGGCCCACCAAGGCGACGACGGGUAGCCGGCCUGAGAGGGUGACCGGCCACACUGGGACUGAGACACGGCCCAGACCUCCUACGGGAGGNACGCG
Molecule: ribosomal RNA, 237 nt
Filed under: uncultured bacterium
Lineage: Bacteria
Description: partial 16S ribosomal RNA
Rfam family: Bacterial small subunit ribosomal RNA
Source: RNAcentral